Long non-coding RNA from Oreochromis niloticus (Nile tilapia), 373 nucleotides. RefSeq lists it as uncharacterized. The record is from RefSeq and is a predicted model, not a curated record. NCBI's taxonomy places the organism in Eukaryota, Metazoa, Chordata, Actinopteri, Cichliformes, Cichlidae. The transcript is spliced from 3 exons.
UGCAGUCUCAUCUACUUCACAAUCCUGGCGCUGUAGCGUAAGUCCCAUGGCUCUUUGAAUGCAGCACUGUGGAAGAGAUGAAUGGGGAGGCCCCGCCCCUGCUCAAGAAGAGGAGGAGUCACCAGAAACAGUCGGGUCACCACUGGGAUACCUCAACCGACUGUUCACAGGUCCUCUGGCAAAUGCUCCGUUUAUUUCACGUCUGUGAUUAAGCAUCAUAUCGACUCAAACCUGGCUCUGACUACAAAGGCACAGUGCAUCAGUGCACACGGCGAUUACAGCUAAGAUGGGCCAGAAGGAGAUCGUUUGCAGCUGGAAGAAAAGCACCAGUAACAUCAAGGACGUGUUUGACUUCAAGGGGAAGAUGGGCUCG